AGGAUGAACGCUGGCGGCGUGCCUAAUACAUGCAAGUCGAGCGAACGGACGAGAAGCUUGCUUCUCUGAUGUUAGCGGCGGACGGGUGAGUAACACGUGGAUAACCUACCUAUAAGACUGGGAUAACUUCGGGAAACCGGAGCUAAUACCGGAUAAUAUUUUGAACCGCAUGGUUCAAAAGUGAAAGACGGUCUUGCUGUCACUUAUAGAUGGAUCCGCGCUGCAUUAGCUAGUUGGUAAGGUAACGGCUUACCAAGGCAACGAUGCAUAGCCGACCUGAGAGGGUGAUCGGCCACACUGGAACUGAGACACGGUCCAGACUCCUACGGGAGGCAGCAGUAGGGAAUCUUCCGCAAUGGGCGAAAGCCUGACGGAGCAACGCCGCGUGAGUGAUGAAGGUCUUCGGAUCGUAAAACUCUGUUAUUAGGGAAGAACAUAUGUGUAAGUAACUGUGCACAUCUUGACGGUACCUAAUCAGAAAGCCACGGCUAACUACGUGCCAGCAGCCGCGGUAAUACGUAGGUGGCAAGCGUUAUCCGGAAUUAUUGGGCGUAAAGCGCGCGUAGGCGGUUUUUUAAGUCUGAUGUGAAAGCCCACGGCUCAACCGUGGAGGGUCAUUGGAAACUGGAAAACUUGAGUGCAGAAGAGGAAAGUGGAAUUCCAUGUGUAGCGGUGAAAUGCGCAGAGAUAUGGAGGAACACCAGUGGCGAAGGCGACUUUCUGGUCUGUAACUGACGCUGAUGUGCGAAAGCGUGGGGAUCAAACAGGAUUAGAUACCCUGGUAGUCCACGCCGUAAACGAUGAGUGCUAAGUGUUAGGGGGUUUCCGCCCCUUAGUGCUGCAGCUAACGCAUAAGCACUCCGCC
This 865-nucleotide ribosomal RNA is filed under the name Staphylococcus aureus. RNAcentral's name for it is "bacterial SSU rRNA". It matches the Rfam family "Bacterial small subunit ribosomal RNA", at positions 26 to 873 of the family's 1533-position model. The record is from RNAcentral. Lineage: Bacteria; Bacillati; Bacillota; Bacilli; Caryophanales; Staphylococcaceae.